UGGGGAGGGCGGUCAGCGCGCG
RNAcentral lists this microRNA (22 nucleotides) under Macaca mulatta rhadinovirus. RNAcentral's name for it is "rrv-miR-rR1-4-5p". Its record names the gene rrv-miR-rR1-4-5p. The record is from miRBase by way of RNAcentral. Lineage: Duplodnaviria; Heunggongvirae; Peploviricota; Herviviricetes; Herpesvirales; Orthoherpesviridae.